RNAcentral lists this long non-coding RNA (1149 nucleotides) under Homo sapiens (human). RNAcentral's name for it is "HSALNT0378335". Lineage: Eukaryota; Metazoa; Chordata; Mammalia; Primates; Hominidae. The record is from RNAcentral.
UCUGAAAAGGUGGAUUGCUGCUUCAAAGGACCUGGACCCAGAGGCCCUGUCCAUGAAUGUUUCUUGCUUGGUUCCGAGGCCACCAAACAUACUGGCUGAGCCUUCUGUAUUCACCCUGGCCUAUCAAUGCCAUCUAUGAGAGCAGCCACACUGAGAGAGCAGCAGCAUGGAGCCUACUCAAGGGUUUGUUUCAAAAAUAUAUGGAAAACAAGAAAAACCAAAAGAGGAAACCAUUUCUAAUGAGGAGACUAGUUCAAUUAUUCUGAAGUCAAGCCCUGCUAAUCAAGGAGUUGGACCGACUGUGACAUUUGGGGAAGCCCCACAGAACAGGAUGGGAUCUUUUAUGAAGAAAUGGAUUGGGAAGAAAAACAUAAGAUAAGGUUGGAACCUCUUCUGGUGCAAGAAGGUCCUAAAUAUUACUGAGGAUCUCUCAUCUUCUAGGUGAAGCUCACAAAAUUGCCCUGGAGGUUGCUGCCUUCCUGGAAGCCAGAGUGAAAAAAAAAAAGAGGACAUGCAGUUGCACAUGGGAGGAUUUUGUGGGCCAUGGUUAUCAGGGCACAAUCCCUUAGCUCACCUUUCUCUGGUGAGAAAACACUUCCAGUGCCACACCUCAGUCUCCUCCCUCUGGUGAAAAAAACACUUCCAGUGCCACACCUCAGCCUCCUUCCUCUGGUGAAAAAACAGUUCCAGUGCCAUACCUCAGCCUUUCCUCUGGUAAAAAACACUUCCAGUGCCACACCUCAGCCUCCCUCCUCUGGUGAAAAAACACUUCCAGUGCUACACCUCAGCCUCCUUCCUCUGGUGAAAAAAUACUUCCAGAGCCACACCUUACCCUCCUUCCUCUGGUGAGAAACUACUUCCAGUGCCACACCUCAGCCUCCUUCCUCUGGUGACAAAACACUUCCAGUGCCACAACUCAGCCUCCUUCGACUGGUGAGAAAACACUUCCAGUGCCACACCUCAGCCUCCUUCCUCUGCUGAGAAAACACUUCCAGUGCCACAGCUCAGCCUCCUUCCUCUGGUCACAAAACACUUCCAGUACUACACAUCACUGCUGGAGAACUGGAGAGUGGAGUCUUCCAGCCCAAGAAGAAAGAAAUAUAGGAUUUUGUCAAGUACCAGAAGUUUCUGCCACACUCAGUGGGCAUU